Long non-coding RNA from Esox lucius (northern pike), 1248 nucleotides. Lineage: Eukaryota; Metazoa; Chordata; Actinopteri; Esociformes; Esocidae. The record is from Ensembl.
UGACUGUGGGGGCCAGUACAGUGAACUCAUUGUCAUGUUCAAGAAACCAAUUUGAAAUGAUUCGAGCUUUGUGACAUGGUGCAUUAUCCUGCUGGAAGUAGCCAUCAGAGGAUGGGUACAUGGUGGUCAUAAAGGGAUGGACAUGGUCAGAAACAAUGCUCAGGUAGGCCGUGGCAUUUAAACGAUGUCCAAUUGGCAGUAAGGGGCCUAAAGUCUGCCAAGAAAAGCCCCACACCAUUACACCACCACCAGCACAGUGGUAACAAGGCAUGAUGGAUCCAUGUUCUCAUUCUGUUUACGCCAAAUUCUGACUCUACCAUCUGAAUGUCUCAACAGAAAUCGAGACUCAUCAGACCAGGCAACAUUCUUACAGUCUUCAACUGUCCAAUUUUGGUGAGCUUGUGCAAACUGUAGCCUCUUUUUCCUAUUUGUAGUGGAGAUGGUACCCGGUAGGGUCUUCUGCUGUUGUAGCCCAUCCGCCUCAAGGUUGUGCGUGUUGUGGCUUCACAAAUGCUUUGCUGCAUACCUCGGUUGUAACGAGUGGUUAUUUCAGUCAAAGUUGCUCUUCUAUCAGCUUGAAUCAGUCGGCCCAUUCUCCUCUGACUUCUAGCAUCAACAAGGCAUUUUCGCCCACAGGACUGCCGCAUACUGGAUGUUUUUCCCUUUUCACACCAUUCUUUGUAAACCCUAGAAAUGGUUGUGCGUGAAAAUCCCAGUAACUGAGCAGAUUGUGAAAUACUCAGACCAGCCCGUCUGGCACCAACAACCAUGCCACGCUCAAAACUGCUUAAAUCACCUUCCUUUCCCAUUCUGACAUUCAGUUUGGAGUUCAGGAGAUUGUCUUGACCAGGACCACACCCCUAAAUGCAUUGAAGCAACUGCCAUGUGAUUAGUUGAUUAGAUAAUUGCAUUAAUGAGAAAUUGAACAGGUGUUCCUAAUAAUCCUUUAGGUGAGUCUAUUUAUAUAUCUAAUGGCUUAAGAUUAUUCUUAAACUUUCUUAUCCGGUGCAGCCAGAAGAGGACUGGCCCCUCAGAGUCUGGUUCCUCUCUAGGUUUCUUCCAAGGUUUUUGACCCUACUUGGGAGUUUUUCCUAGCCACUGAGCACAAUGUAUUGUUAUUGCUUGCUCUUUGGGGUUUCUAUGCUGGGUAUCUGUGCAUUUUGUGAUAACAGACAAUAUAAAAAUGGCUUUAUAAAAUAAAGUUUGUUGCUUGUUUGCAUGCAAAGUUGUUUUUCCUUCAUUCAAAAU